GACGAACGCUGGCGGCGUGCUUAACACAUGCAAGUCGAACGGAAAGGCCCUGCUUUUGUGGGGUGCUCGAGUGGCGAACGGGUGAGUAACACGUGAGUAACCUGCCCUUGACUUUGGGAUAACUUCAGGAAACUGGGGCUAAUACCGGAUAGGAGCUCCUGCUGCAUGGUGGGGGUUGGAAAGUUUCGGCGGUUGGGGAUGGACUCGCGGCUUAUCAGCUUGUUGGUGGGGUAGUGGCUUACCAAGGCUUUGACGGGUAGCCGGCCUGGGAGGGUGACCGGGCACAAUGGGACUGAGGUACGGCCCAGACUCCUACGGGAGGCAGCGGUGGGGAAUAUUACACAAUGGGCGGAAGCCUGAUGCAGCAACGCCGCGUGCGGGAUGACGGCCUUCGGGUUGUAAACCGCUUUCGCCUGUGACGAAGCGUGAGUGACGGUAAUGGGUAAAGAAGCACCGGCUAACUACGUG
Molecule: ribosomal RNA, 468 nt
Filed under: uncultured bacterium
Lineage: Bacteria
Description: partial 16S ribosomal RNA
Rfam family: Bacterial small subunit ribosomal RNA
Source: RNAcentral